Molecule: long non-coding RNA, 563 nt
Organism: Mercenaria mercenaria
Lineage: Eukaryota; Metazoa; Mollusca; Bivalvia; Venerida; Veneridae
Exons: 3
Source: RefSeq, a predicted model, not a curated record
UAUUCAAAACCAAUUUAUAUUUUUCUUGUCAUUGCAUAAUAAUCUCUGUACAUGUACAGAUAUGGUAAAUGGACAGAUAUAUUUUAGCCACUUAAUGACUCAACUUGUAAACAAACAUAUAAAAUGGACGCUUGCAGUGGUUUGGUUGAUUACUGGAUCUGUGCCACAUGAGACUGGCCAAAUAAGCACUGCUGGCUUGAUGCAUACUUGUAGACGGAAUCGAGUCGUGGUGGAGGCUAAUGCGGCAAAUGGGAAUAGGCUACUGGAUUUACUAUUUCAAAGAUCUGGAUGACAAUGGGGUAUUGUCCACUGAAAGUCCAGUUCAUGUGGAGUGUCUGAGGUUUUGUUUUACGAAGUUGCUUCAGAAAGAACUUGAUGAAUUGAGAGAACAGUGGAACUUGCAUCGUGUUAGAACUUCGUCAAGUUUUGCUGGAAAGCCAAACCUGCUUUAUCACCACCCAGAACGUUUUGGUUAGUUGUUCAGUUCCUUCGUUCCUACAUGAACAGAAUGAAACAUAAAGAAGCAGUACUGUACAUACUUAAUUAUAAUUUAAUUUAGCAGA